Molecule: ribosomal RNA, 341 nt
Filed under: Salmonella enterica
Lineage: Bacteria; Pseudomonadati; Pseudomonadota; Gammaproteobacteria; Enterobacterales; Enterobacteriaceae
Also listed under: 1 other name
Description: partial 23S ribosomal RNA
Rfam family: Bacterial large subunit ribosomal RNA
Source: RNAcentral
CGAACCGGGGGAACUGAAACAUCUAAGUACCCCGAGGAAAAGAAAUCAACCGAGAUUCCCCCAGUAGCGGCGAGCGAACGGGGAGGAGCCCAGAGCCUGAAUCAGCAUGUGUGUUAGUGGAAGCGUCUGGAAAGGCGCGCGAUACAGGGUGACAGCCCCGUACACAAAAGCGCAUGUGCUGUGAGCUCGAUGAGUAGGGCGGGACACGUGGUAUCCUGUCUGAAUAUGGGGGGACCAUCCUCCAAGGCUAAAUACUCCUGACUGACCGAUAGUGAACCAGUACCGUGAGGGAAAGGCGAAAAGAACCCCGGCGAGGGGAGUGAAAAAGAACCUGAAACCGU